AACUGAAGAGUUUGAUCAUGGCUCAGAUUGAACGCUGGCGGCAGGCUUAACNCAUGCAAGUCGAGCGGGGGAAGUGCUGCUACUGACCUAGCGGCGGACGGGUGAGUAAUGCUUAGGAAUCUGCCUA
Molecule: ribosomal RNA, 127 nt
Filed under: Acinetobacter baumannii ABNIH4
Lineage: Bacteria; Pseudomonadati; Pseudomonadota; Gammaproteobacteria; Moraxellales; Moraxellaceae
Description: partial 16S ribosomal RNA
Rfam family: Bacterial small subunit ribosomal RNA
Source: RNAcentral